Molecule: unclassified non-coding RNA, 302 nt
Filed under: Broussonetia papyrifera (paper mulberry)
Lineage: Eukaryota; Viridiplantae; Streptophyta; Magnoliopsida; Rosales; Moraceae
Description: partial 26S-18S external transcribed spacer
Source: RNAcentral
UUUCUUCCUUUGUGGCUUUGAUGUUGCAAGGGGGACCUCAAAGCAUCCUUGUGUCCCUGACAUGGCCUCAACGCAUGGUUGUGGUUGUCAUGGUCCACGUGCAAUGUGUUUGCUCUCUCGGAUGUGGUAAACGAUACGGACGUAAGGGUGUCCCGGCCCGUUGAAUGUUCGAAAUCCAGUCCCUCGAAAUGAACGACUCUCGCCACCAUACUGUCUGUUGGCCGAAGGUGCCAUUCGCGGUCACGUUGGUGCGAAGUCGUGAAGGAAUGCUACCUGGUUGAUCCUGCCAGUAGUCAUAUGCU